GGGCCCGCACAAGCGGUGGAGUAUGUGGUUUAAUUCGAUGCAACGCGAAGAACCUUACCAGGGUUUGACAUCCUGCGAAUCUCUUGGAAACAGGAGAGUGCCUUCGGGAACGCAGUGACAGGUGCUGCAUGGCUGUCGUCAGUUCGUGGCGUGAGCUGUUAGGUUAAGUCCUAGAACGAACGCAACCCUCAAGUUUUUUGCUGUGAUUCAAAUAACUUACUGCCAGUGAGAUACUGGAGGAAGGGGAGGAUGACGUCAAGUCCGCAUGGCCCUCAUGAAUUGGGCUACACACGUGCUACAAUGGUGAUGACAAAAGAGCAAUUUGGUCACAAGGAGCAAUUCUCUAACCAUCACCUUAGUUCGGAUUGGUCUCUGCAACUCGAGACCAUGAAGUCGGAAUCGCUAGUAAUCG
RNAcentral lists this ribosomal RNA (412 nucleotides) under uncultured bacterium. RNAcentral's name for it is "bacterial SSU rRNA". It matches the Rfam family "Bacterial small subunit ribosomal RNA", at positions 917 to 1344 of the family's 1533-position model. The record is from RNAcentral.